Molecule: ribosomal RNA, 450 nt
Filed under: uncultured bacterium
Lineage: Bacteria
Description: bacterial SSU rRNA
Rfam family: Bacterial small subunit ribosomal RNA
Source: RNAcentral
GUUAGGAAUCUUGGGCAAUGGGCGCAAGCCUGACCCAGCCAUGCCGCGUGUGUGAAGAAGGCCUUCGGGUUGUAAAGCACUUUCAGCGGUGAAGAAAAGCUCAGGGCCAAUAUCCUUGAGUCUUGACGUUAACCGCAGAAGAAGCACCGGCUAACUCCGUGCCAGCAGCCGCGGUAAUACGGAGGGUGCGAACGUUAAUCGGAAUCACUGGGCGUAAAGCGCGCGUAGGCGGUUUGUUAAGUGGGAUGUGAAAGCCCCGGGCUUAACCUGGGAAUUGCAUUUCAAACUGGCGAACUAGAGUGCGGUAGAGGGAGGUAGAAUUUCCUGUGUAGCGGUGAAAUGCGUAGAUAUAGGAAGGAAUACCAGUGGCGAAGGCGGCCUCCUGGAUCGACACUGACGCUAAGGCGCGAAAGCGUGGGGAGCAAACAGGAUUAGAUACCCUAGUAGUCC